UUGCAUAUCAAUAAGCGGAGGAAAAGAAACUAACAAGGAUUCCCCUAGUAACUGCGAGUGAAGCGGGAAGAGCUCAAAUUUAAAAUCUGGUAGUCUUUGAUUGCCCGAAUUGUAAUCUAGAGAAGUGUUAUCCGCGCUGGACCGUGUAUAAGUCUCCUGGAAUGGAGCGUCAUAGAGGGUGAGAAUCCCGUCUUUGACACGGACUACCAGGGCUUUGUGAUGCGCUCUCAACGAGUCGAGUUGUUUGGGAAUGCAGCUCUAAAUGGGUGGUAAAUUCCAUCUAAAGCUAAAUAUUGGCGAGAGACCGAUAGCGAACAAGUACCGUGAGGGAAAGAUGAAAAGAACUUUGGAAAGAGAGUUAAACAGUACGUGAAAUUGUUGAAAGGGAAACGCUUGAAGUCAGUCGCAUUGAUCAGGGAUCAACCUUGCUUUUGCUUGGUGCAUUUCCUGAUUGAUGGGUCAGCAUCAAUUUUGACCAGUGGAAAAAGGCUGAGAGAAUGUGGCAUCUUCGGAUGUGUUAUAGCUUUCAGUUGCAUACAUUGGUUGGGAUUGAGGAACUCAGCACGCCGCAAGGCCGGGUUUUUAACCACGUUCGUGCUUAGGAUGCUGGCAUAAUGGCUUUAAGCGACCCGUCUUGAAMCACGGACCA
This 649-nucleotide ribosomal RNA is filed under the name Inocephalus mucronatus. Its description in RNAcentral is "partial large subunit ribosomal RNA". It matches the Rfam family "Eukaryotic large subunit ribosomal RNA", at positions 36 to 668 of the family's 3401-position model. The record is from RNAcentral. Lineage: Eukaryota; Fungi; Basidiomycota; Agaricomycetes; Agaricales; Entolomataceae.